AGUGAACGCUGGCGGUAGGCCUAACACAUGCAAGUCGAACGGCAGCACAGUAAGAGCUUGCUCUUACGGGUGGCGAGUGGCGGACGGGUGAGGAAUACAUCGGAAUCUACUUUUUCGUGGGGGAUAACGUAGGGAAACUUACGCUAAUACCGCAUACGACCUACGGGUGAAAGCAGGGGAUCUUCGGACCUUGCGCGGUUGAAUGAGCCGAUGUCGGAUUAGCUAGUUGGCGGGGUAAAGGCCCACCAAGGCGACGAUCCGUAGCUGGUCUGAGAGGAUGAUCAGCCACACUGGAACUGAGACACGGUCCAGACUCCUACGGGAGGCAGCAGUGGGGAAUAUUGGACAAUGGGCGCAAGCCUGAUCCAGCCAUACCGCGUGGGUGAAGAAGGCCUUCGGGUUGUAAAGCCCUUUUGUUGGGAAAGAAAAGCAGCAGGUUAAUACCCCGCUGUUCUGACGGUACCCAAAGAACAAGCACCGGCUAACUUCGUG
RNAcentral lists this ribosomal RNA (492 nucleotides) under uncultured bacterium. RNAcentral's name for it is "partial 16S ribosomal RNA". It matches the Rfam family "Bacterial small subunit ribosomal RNA", at positions 29 to 507 of the family's 1533-position model. The record is from RNAcentral.